This 560-nucleotide ribosomal RNA is filed under the name uncultured archaeon. RNAcentral describes it as "bacterial SSU rRNA". It matches the Rfam family "Archaeal small subunit ribosomal RNA", at positions 404 to 963 of the family's 1478-position model. The record is from RNAcentral.
GGGCUGUCCAUUGGUUUAAAUAACCCGUGAAGAAAGGGCCGGGCAAGACCGGUGCCAGCCGCCGCGGUAAUACCGGCGGCUCGAGUGGUGGCCACUAUUACUGGGCUUAAAGCGUUCGUAGCUGGUUUGUUAAGUCUCUGGGGAAAUCUUCCGGCUUAACCGGAAGGCGUCUCAGGGAUACUGGCAGACUAGGGACCGGGAGAGGUGAGGGGUACUCCAGGGGUAGGAGUGAAAUCCUGUAAUCCUUGGGGGACCACCUGUGGCGAAGGCGCCUCACCAGAACGGCUCCGACAGUGAGGGACGAAAGCUGGGGGAGCAAACCGGAUUAGAUACCCGGGUAGUCCCAGCUGUAAACGAUGCGCGUUAGGUGUAUCGGUGACCACGAGUCACCGAGGUGCCGAAGAGAAAUCGUGAAACGUGCCGCCUGGGAAGUACGGUCGCAAGGCUGAAACUUAAAGGAAUUGGCGGGGGAGCACCACAACAGGUGGAGCCUGCGGUUUAAUCGGACUCAACGCCGGGAAACUCACCAGUUAAGACAGCUGAAUGAUAGUCGGGCUGAA